RNAcentral lists this ribosomal RNA (263 nucleotides) under uncultured archaeon. Its description in RNAcentral is "partial 16S ribosomal RNA". It matches the Rfam family "Archaeal small subunit ribosomal RNA", at positions 748 to 1008 of the family's 1478-position model. The record is from RNAcentral.
CAGCCGUAAACUAUGCGCGUUAGGUGUACUGGUGACCACGAGUCACCGGGUGCCGAAGGGAAACCGUGAAACGUGCCGCCUGGGAAGUACGGUCGCAAGGCUGAAACUUAAAGGAAUUGGCGGGGGAGGCACCACAACGGGUGGAGCCUGCGGUUUAAUUUGGACUCAACGCCGGAAAUACUCACCGGAUAGGACAGACAUAUGAUAGUCGGGCUGAAGACUCUACUUGAUGAUCUGAGAGGAGGUGCAUGGCGUCAGUGACU